Molecule: ribosomal RNA, 301 nt
Filed under: uncultured bacterium
Lineage: Bacteria
Description: partial 16S ribosomal RNA
Rfam family: Bacterial small subunit ribosomal RNA
Source: RNAcentral
CAGUAGCCGCGGUAAUACGGAGGGUGCAAGCGUUAAUCGGAAUUACUGGGCGUAAAGCGUGCGUAGGCGGUUCGUUAAGUCUGUUGUGAAAGCCCCGGGCUCAACCUGGGAAUGGCAAUGGAUACUGGCGAGCUAGAGUGUGUCAGAGGAUGGUGGAAUUCCCGGUGUAGCGGUGAAAUGCGUAGAGAUCGGGAGGAACAUCAGUGGCGAAGGCGGCCAUCUGGGACAACACUGACGCUGAGGCACGAAAGCGUGGGGAGCAAGCAGGAUUAGAUACCCCCGUAGUCCCUGUCUCUUAUAC